RNAcentral lists this long non-coding RNA (659 nucleotides) under Mustela putorius furo (domestic ferret). Its description in RNAcentral is "lncRNA (ENSMPUG00000026556.1)". The record is from RNAcentral. Lineage: Eukaryota; Metazoa; Chordata; Mammalia; Carnivora; Mustelidae.
CAGAAGUCCAGCUCAUAGACAGCAAGAACCUUCUCAGAGUGUGUCAAAUUGCCCCUGAGAUGGGGAGACUUAGAUGGCACUAAUGGAAAUCAAAUGGCCAAGCUCAGCUUUCUGAAUGGUGGCUCUGUGAACAGGAACCUUGUUGAUCUCCUUCUCCACAGUAUCCUCAUGAACUACCACAGGGUUGCAGACAGGAGACAUGCAACAAAUAAUUGUGGAGCAAAUACUGUUAUUUAGCUGCCUGCCACUUCUCAUGACCUAGGGCUCUUAAAGCCCAUAUCUGGAGAAAAUCACCCAGUGGUGACAAUGGAAGGAAAAAUGACCAUUUAUUUAUUGAGCAACUGCUAUGUCAGGCAUUUCACGCAUGGUAACUUUGUAUCUUAGAUUGUACAAGGUUAAUAUUAUUAAUUCAAGUUUUAUAGAUAUUGAAAAUGAGGUGAAAUGAUGUGCCCAAAGGCAUAAAGCUAGAGUGAAACCCAUGUAUAUUUGUUUUCAGAGUCAAUAUUUACUAUUACCAGCUUUGUCUUUAUCACACAAUCUUUGUAUUAUCCUGACCUUGAGGAUGUUAUUAUUCUUUACAGUAUGGGAUACAGUAACACUUAGGUAAAUAUAGUAUUUGUUUGCAUAUUUUCUGUCCUAACUAUAGACAUGGAUAUAUU